AUAGGCGCUUAAUUUAGAAUAAAUAAAUUAAUAAAUCUGAAAAACUGCACAACGAAUUAUCACAGCCAUAGUGAACUGGGACCCAUGUUAAAGGAAAUCUCUGCUCUUUGUUUGCUCCUCCUGGCUCACAGAUUCCAGUUUGUUGCAUUUAUACAUGGAUAAACCUUAGCACAGCAGCCUAUCACUGAGAUUUCAGGACAACAUCGUCUAUUCACCUCCACAAAACUUUCAUUUCGCGUGCUCACGACGUCACCGCGUUGCCUAGCAACUGCCCAACAACUGUCUAAAAUCACAGGCCAAACAAGCAUGUAGUCUUGUUGUGUCCUUAAAGAGGGGAAAUAGUGAGGAGAGAUGAAUGAAUGAUACUGACGCACAGCUCUCGCUUUCACUCACUUUGCUCUAGAUCCACACAUACAAAAGCUUAUUACUUUUAAACGUUCGACAGCCCUUGCACUGGCACAAAACCUAAAAAGGACCGCACUGAGACACGUUCAAGAGAAGCAGACGGGACACUGUCGAGAUUCCUUGGUAGGAAUGUUGACAAUGCUGCCAGCCUGACUGCUCAUCACGGCUUUCGUUACCCGUUGAAGGUCUGGCUCCUGGGUUGGGGUCCUCAUAGACGUCAAAACUAGCCAAGCUCCGAGAGCCAGUUAAAGUAGUUCUGGCAUGUGACAAGGAUUCCUUCUGGGCGUCUCCCAGGUGAGGUGUACUGGCCGUGUCCAACCAGGAGGAAGCCCUGGAUCAGACCCAGGACCUGAUGGAGUUCCCCUGGAUAAGCUGGAGGAGGUGACUGUGGAGAGGGAGGACACCAGGAGAGAUGAGCAUAUCUAGCCCACAUCUGCAGAAACUGUACUUAAGAGAAGUUGGGACAAUGUUAAAGACUUCAGGCAAUUGCACUUGGAUUAUCUAAAUUCAUGACAGACAUUCAAGCAGUAAUGUCUGGACUGACAACCAGACAUACCAAGCUUCUGUGUUUGAGCCAGAGACUGCACUUGUGGAUGAGCAAUACAAACAUUUUAUCUUUAUUAUAUCAGUAAUGUAACUUGCAAUAAAAAGU
Oreochromis niloticus (Nile tilapia) is the source of this 1057-nucleotide long non-coding RNA. RefSeq lists it as uncharacterized. NCBI's taxonomy places the organism in Eukaryota, Metazoa, Chordata, Actinopteri, Cichliformes, Cichlidae. The record is from RefSeq and is a predicted model, not a curated record. The transcript has 4 exons.